CAGCCACCGCGGUAAUACCGGCGGCCCGAGUGGCGGUCACUAUUAUUGGGCUUAAAGCGUCCGUAGCCGGGUUGGGAAGUCCUCCGGGAAAUCUGGCCGCUUAACGGUCAGAAUGCCGGAGGAUACUCCCAGCCUAGGGAGCGGGAGAGGCCGAGGGUAUUCCCGGAGUAGGGGUGAAAUCCUAUAAUCCCGGGAGGACCACCUGUGGCGAAGGCGCUCGGCUGGAACGCGUCCGACGGUGAGGGACGAAGGCCAGGGGAGCAAACCGGAUUAGAUACCCGGGUAGUCCUGGCUGUAAACGAUGCGGACUUUGUGUCGGACAAGCUAUGAGCUUGUCCGGUGCCGGAGGGAAACCGUUAAGUCCGCCGCCUGGGGAGUACGGCCGCAAGGCUGAAACUUAAAGGAAUUGGCGGG
RNAcentral lists this ribosomal RNA (414 nucleotides) under uncultured microorganism. Its description in RNAcentral is "bacterial SSU rRNA". It matches the Rfam family "Archaeal small subunit ribosomal RNA", at positions 459 to 872 of the family's 1478-position model. The record is from RNAcentral.